Molecule: ribosomal RNA, 3088 nt
Filed under: Patescibacteria group bacterium
Lineage: Bacteria
Description: 23S ribosomal RNA
Rfam family: Bacterial large subunit ribosomal RNA
Source: RNAcentral
AAGUACACAUAAGGGCACACGGUGGAUGCCUUGGCAGAAAACGCUGAUGAAGGACGUCGCAGCCUGCGAUAAGCUCCGGGGAGGUGGCAAGCAACCUUUGAUCCGGAGAUCUCCGAAUGGGGUAACCCGUUACGACGGAAGGUCGUGACAUCGUCCGCUGAAUACAUAGGCGUACGAAAGGCACCUGGGGAAGUGAAACAUCUCAGUACCCAGAGGAAAAGAAACAACAAGCGCUGAUUACUCGAACGAGUCCGCCUUCCAUGGUGGGAUCGUUCGAGAUAAUCAGCUGGAUUCCCCGAGUAGUGGCGAGCGAAAGGGGAUGAGCCGAAACGCAUGACGUGGUUCGCCGGACUGAGUUUGAUCGCAAGAUUGAGCCGCAGCCGGAUGAAUAAAGGUGUAGGCCGUUGCGUCAUGCGGGUUGCAGGACAGUGAUGUCGGAUCCCUACUGAUCCGGGAAGAGGAAAGCCCGAUGAGGGCACGCGUUUGAAGCAGAACGGUCUGGAAAGGCCGGCCAGAGCGGGUGACAGCCCCGUAUGCGAAUCUUACGAUGCUUCUUCUGUCAUUGUUCCUUAGUACUACGGGUCUCGGGAAAGCCUGUAGGAAUCCGCCACGACUAUGUGGCAAGGCUAAAUACGUUUUCUGACCGAUAGUGAACCAGUACCGUGAGGGAACGGUUAAAAGCAGCCCGGGAGGGCGAUGAAAUAGUAUCUGAAACCGUGUGCUUACAAGGAGUCGGAGCCCCGCAAGGGGUGACGGCGUUCCUAUUGAAGAAUGAGCCAACGAGUAUGCUGUGCGUUGCUGCAGUUAAAUCCUACGGGAUGAAGCUGAAGCGAAAGCGAGUCUGAAUAGGGCGUUUUCACUUCUGUGUUCCGUUCCGCCUCCGGGCGGGAUGGUGCACAGAAUGUGAACGGUAGCGCAUACAUGGCCCGAAACCCGGUGAGCUAACCAUGGCCAGGAUGAAGUCCCACGAAAGUGGGAUGGAGGUCCGAACCAGUGACCCGUGCAACAGUCUUGGAUGAGCUGUGGUUAGAGGUGAAAUUCCAAUCGAACUGGGUAAUAGCUGGUUCUCCCCGAAAUAGCUUGUGGGCUAGCGUCGGUUAAUAGCGUGCGGGGGGUAGAGCACUGAAUGGAACCUGGUGGAGCAAUCCUACAGGUACCAACCAAACUCCGAAUACCCGUACGUGUUCCCGGCAGUCAGAGCAUGGGGGCUAAGCUCCAUCGCUCAAAAGGGAAACAGCCCUUGAUCUCCGUCUAAGGUCCCUAAAUUGCAGUUCAGUGUCAAAGGAGGUGUCGUGACUCAGACAACCAGGAGGUUGGCUUAGAAGCAGCCAUCCUUUAAAGAAAGCGUAACAGCUCACUGGUUCAGUCGCUUCGCGCCGAAAAUAUACCGGGGCUUAAACUGCAUACCGAAGACGAGGGCCGCACGAUUUACUUCGUGCGGCGGUAGGGGAGCGUUCCGAACAGCUGUGAAGUCGUGGCGUGAGCCGCGGUGGAGCGUUCGGAAGUGCGAAUGUUGGCAUAAGUAGCAAAAAGACGGGUGAGAACCCCGUCCUCCGUAAACCCAAGGUUUCCUGGGCAACGCAAAUCGUCCCAGGGUGAGCCGGUCCUAAGGUGAGGGCGAGUGCCGUAACCGAUGGAUGAGCAGGUGAAUAUUCCUGCGCUACGGUGGUGUUAUGUUCGAGGGGACACAUCGCAAAAUCUUCCGUGCCUUUUGGCUAUAGGCAUGGGUGGCGGCAAGCCGGUCCUUUGGUAAAUCCGGGGACGGAACGCAAGCCGCUGCACGCAGUGCGCCGCGAGGCGCGCAAUGGGAGAGGAUGUGGUGUCUAGAAAAGCCUCGUUCUUACGCAUCAUCGUACCCGUACCGUAAUCCGACACAGGUGGGUGGGCAUAAGUGUGCCAAGGAGUACGAGAGAACCCUCGUUCAGGAACUCGGCAAUACAACGGCCGUAACUUCGGGAUAAGGCCUCCCCAUCGCAAGAUGGGGCGCAGCGAAAGACGCUUAGCGACUGUUUACCAAAAACACAGCUCUCUGCGAAACCGCAAGGUGAUGUAUAGAGAGUGAUGCCUGGCCAGUGUCAGAACGUUAAGGCGAGGGGUCAUGGGCGCAAGCCCGGCAGCUCCGAACCGAAGCGCUGAUGAACGCCGGCGGUAACUAUAACCGUCCUAAGGUAGCGAAAUUCCUUGUCGGGUGAGUUCCGACCUGCACGAAUGGCAUAACGACUGAGCGACUGUCUUAACGAGGGACUCGGCGAAAUUGCAAGGUGAGUGAAGAUGCUCACUACCCGUGGUUAGACGAAAAGACCCCAUGAAGCUUUACUAUAGCUUGGUAUUGGGUUCACGUUUCACAUGUUCAGCGUAGGUGGGAGCUUCGGCACCAAUGAGACACCACCCUUGUGUUACGCGAAUUCUAAUCUCGCGCCGUUAUCCGGUGUGGGAGACAGUAUCUGGUGGGUAGUUUGACUGGGGCGGUCGCCUCCUAAAUGGUAACGGAGGCGUUUACAAAGGUCGGCUUAGCUCCGAUGGAAACGGAGCUGGACGUGCAAACGCAAAAGCCGGCUUUACUGCAAGACCUACAAGUCGAGCAGUCGCGAAAGCGGAAGUUAGUGAUCCGACCGUUCGUUAUAGGACGGCGGAAGCUCAUCGGACAAAAGCUACUCUGGGGAUAACAGGCUGAUCGGGUCCAAGAGUCCACAUCGACGACCCGGUUUGGCACCUCGAUGUCGGCCCGUCGCAUCCUGGGGGUGGAGAAGCUCCCAAGGGUUUGGCUGUUCGCCAAUUAAAGCGGCACGCGAGCUGGGUUCAGAACGUCGUGAGACAGUUCGGUCUCCUAUCUACCACGGGCGCGGAAACUUGAGAGGGCGCACCUCUAGUACGAGAGGACCGAGGUGCACGAACCUCUUGUGUACGAGCUGUCCUGCCAAGGGCACUGCUCGGUAGCGAAGUUCGGAACGGAUAAACGCUGAAAGCAUCUAAGCGUGAAGCCGUCCUCAAGAUUAGGUUUCAGUAUGAGACUCCCGGGAGAUGACCGGGUUGAACGGCGGCAGGUGUACGGACCGCAAGGUCUUCAGCCGAGCCGUACGUAUAAGUC